CAGUCCAUUUGUUUUCUCUCUACUAGCCAGUACUUACUUACUUACUUACACACAGACAGACAGACAGACACACACAUACCUCUCUCCCCAUGCACACCCUUUCUUUCCAAAGAUCACCACCGAAAUAAAUGCACAUCCCUGCUUCUGUUUUAUCCCUCCCUUGUCAGAUCCUUCUCCCAGUUCCUCCUGCCUUUGCGUUUCCCAGCCACCCUGGCUUCCCUCCUCUUCCACCAGGUAUGUGAUGGCUGACUUUGCACUGCUCCACAUGCUCUGUCUCCUCUUGCACCAGCCCAAACACCCAUCAUGGCCAUCAUUUGUCCAAUCAGGAUAGAAGGUGAGGCGGAUGCAGGCAUUUGUCUGUAACUAAGCUGAAGUACAUGGAACUCAAGCUAACUGCAUAUCACUUCCACGUUUAUCCCACCUCCAUUUUCCUUUGUUUCUCCACGUCAGAAAAGAGCAGCCAGAAUGAUCAAGGGGGAUGGAGUGAUUCCCUUAUGAAGAAAGGUUGCAGCAUUGGGUCUUUUCAGUUUAGAGAAAAGACACAUAAGAGGUGACAUGAUAGAAGUGUAUAAAAUUAUGCAUGGCAUGGCGACAGUGGAUAGAGAAAUGUUUUUCUCCCUCUCUCAUAACAUUAGGAACUCGUGGACAUCCAAUGAAGCUGCAUGUUGGAAGAUUCAGGACAGACAAAAGAAAGUCCUUCACACCGCACAUAGUUAAGCUACAGAAUUCUCUCUCACGGGAGACAGUGAUGCCCACCAACUUGGGUGGCUCUUAAAGAGGCAUAGACACUUUCAUGGGAGAUAAGGCUAUUAUUGGCUAUUAGCCAUGAUGGCUGUGCCCUGCUUCCAUAUUCAGAGGCAGUAUGCUUCCGAAUACCAAUUGCUGGAGCCCGCAGAAGGGGAGAGUGCUUGGGGGCUUCCCAUUAGGGCAUCUGUGAGGAUGGGAUGCUGGAUUAGAUGGGCCACUGACCUGAUCCAGCAGGCUCUUCUUACAUUCUUCUGUUGAACAUUUGCAAGCUCUUUGGGACCAGGACCUGGCCUCUUAAUACUUUGUAAAUCACCGCACUGACUGAUGGCGCUAUAUCAAUAAAAAUAAUAAUAUAGCCAAGAGAAAUUGCUUCAGUGGCCCAGUUCAAACAGCUGGAUAUCCUUAGUGCUGUGUAACAUACGGAGCAAGCACCAGCAUCCUUUCGCAGUGUUGCAGCCAUUGUUUAUCACUUCUAAAGUACCUAUUUUUUUCCUAAGCGCUGGCUCGCAGAGUCAAAGACACAUCACAGAAACACUGUUGUUGCUUGUUAAAUUUCACAUCCCACAUAGUCCCAUAAUUCUCAAAGUGACUUAUGUCCGUUAAGUCAACAUCAACAAGCCUUCUUGUGGACAUAGUCAAGAAUAAAUAUGCCAGGAAACCCAACAGUUGGAUUAAGAGCAGUAUUGCUCACUUUUUCAUACCUCAUAAUUAUAACUGUUUUAAUAACAUCGAAACAACAUAGAAAGAUCCUUUAAUUCGAGUUCAGACCAUUGGUCCAUGUAGCUCAAUAUGUCUAAACGAUGAUUGGCAGCGACUCUCUAUGGUUUCAGACUGAGGACGUUCCUGGAUCUGCCUGGAAAUGUUGGGGAUUGAGCCUAGGAUCUUCUGCAUGCAAAACAGGUAUUCCACCACUAAGCUACAGCCCUUCUACCGGCCACACAGUCAUUCUUAAAGUAAAGGGAUUUGUGCCUUUGGCUUGCUCGCCUGGCAUCUCCAGCAAUUUAGUUGCUUUAGCAAUACUCCAUGCGUCAGCAGGUUGGACACAACUGCAGAGGCUCAUGAAGAAUAAUCACAUGUAGUGUGAACUGCAGAGAGGAGUGAUGCCCCUGCAGAUCCUAUUUUGUUACUCAUGCAGGGCAUUCCCCCUCCCUCCCCAAUUCAGCCGGGCUACCCCUCUGGGGUACCAAGACAUGCUCUUCCCUUUCCCCUCAGUGCCGUUUGUUCGCCCUCCACCCCUUGCAAUGCUCUUACCAUCAGCAUAGCUCAGGAUGUUUCUGCCAGGAAACAUUUUCCCUCUAAUCUGAAACAGAUUUAUCUCUGCAGUGAAAUAAUCAAGCCAUGUGAUCAGAUUUUCAAUUGCUGAUGCCAGCCUCUCUUCCUUCCCUUCUUCCCUGCUAAAAUAAAGCCAUUACUGUUUAUUCUGCUGUUGGUGGAUGGUUUCUCUGAUCGGAUGGUGGAUAUAUACCCUGUCCUGGAUGGGGUUACACUCCCCCCAAGGGAGCGGGUUCGUAGUCUGGGAGUCCUUUUUGACUCUUCCCUCUCACUUGAGGCUCAAGUAGCCUCGGUGGCAAGGAAUGCGUUUUACCAACUUCGGUUGGUAGCCCAGCUACGCCCCUAUUUGAGUAAAGAGGACCUUACAUCAGUGGUACAUGCUCUAGUAACCUCACGCUUAGACUACUGCAAUGCGCUCUACGUAGGGCUACCUUUGAAGACUGUUCGGAAGCUACAGCUAGUGCAAAAUGCGGCAGCCAGACUGCUAACAAGGACCAAGCGGUCCGAGCACAUAACACCUGUUCUGGCUCGCUUGCACUGGCUGCCAAUAAGCUUCCAGGCUAGAUUCAAAGUGUUGGUAUUAACCUAUAAAGCCUUAUACGGCGCAGGGCCACGAUACCUGUUGGAACGCCUCUCCCAAUAUGAACCGGCCUGUACACUACGUUCCACAACGAAGGCCCUCCUCCGGGGCCCGACUCAUAGGGAGGCCCGGAGGGUGGUGACAAGAUCUAGGGCCUUCUCGGUGAUGGCCCCCGAAUUGUGGAACAGUCUCCCCGUGGAGGUGUGCUUGGCGCCGACGCUGUUUUCUUUUCGGCACCAAGUGAAAACCUUUCUUUUCACCGAAGCAUUUUAAUUUAAUUUAACUUAAAUUUGUACAAAUUGUUGUAAUUGAUUUUUGAUUGUUUUUAUGUCCUGUGGUAUUGUAUUAUGAUUUUACUGUACUUUGUUCACCGCCCAGAGAGCUAUUGCUAGUCAGGCGGUUUAUAAGCUUAAUUAAUAAAUAAUAAAAUAAUAAAUAAACAAUAAUUAUUCAGUAUUCAUAGGGUCAAGUUGGGGAUUCAGCACUUUCAAGCAUCGAUUUGAAAUGUUGGGAUUUUUUUGGGGGGGGUGUCUUUUGUUAAAUGCAAUGAACGUAUGAUUUCCUCAGAGAAUUCAAAUGGAAAUGAGAGAGAGAGCGAGCAAGUGGGACCUGUAAUAAGACAUUGCAACGUGGUCUUUUUCAGGGUGCCAGCCAACCAGCCAUGUCCUCUUGUAAGGUACUCCAUUCCAUUCCCCCUCCUCCCUGGAGUUCAGUAUUGGUAUAUAGGAUCUAAAAAAACGUUCCUUCCGCUUUUCAAAACACGAGAUUUCAGAGGCCAACACUUGUGCCUUAGUCCUGGAGUGACUUUAACCCUUGAGAAAGCUAACCACCUUUGCUUAAUCCGAGGGAGUUGUUUCCUUUUGCUUCAUAUUUGCAUAUGGAUAGGUAACGAUAGUGGCUGGUUCACGCUUUGCAAUAAGCCGUAAACCAUGGUGUUGGAAAGGCCGUAGCUCAGAGGUAGACAAUUUGCUUUGCAUGCAGAAGAUCCCAGGCUCAGUCCCAGGUAGCGCCAGGUAGGAUUCGGAGAGGCCCCUCUCCGAAAUCCUGGAGUCAGUUUAGACAAUCCUGAGUUAGAUAGACUAAUAGUCUGGCUCAGUAUAAGGCUGCUUCUUAUGUCCUCUGCUUGAGUGAACCACCUUCCAUGAUUUGUUGGGAGGAAACAGACCAUGAUCCCAGGUUUGGCAUUUUGUCUGAACCAGGGUUUGUUCUUGGCUUACUGACUGUGGUUUAUAAGAGUAAAACAAGCCACAAUGUCUGGUUUGGACAUGACGUGAUACUAAGCCAGGAAUUGUGGCUUGUUUCUCCCCCGCACUCUCAGGGAUAAGCCAACAGCCCAACUUGGUGUGUUCACAAUAAACCAUCAACUAUGGUUCCCUGUGAUGGAUGAAAUGGAAUGCUGGUGAACAAAACAGGAGGAGGUGCCUGGAGCUGAGAUGAAAGACAGUAUCGCUUGCUUAUUUAAGCCUCACUUUCCAGUCACAGUGUCCAUCUAAGGUAGGGAACCAAAUCCAAGUCGUAGGGAGCCAAGAAAUUUUGGAUAACCCCUAUCUGCAUGUGUAGUUUUAAAGGAGCAAUUUAUUCAUAUGAGGGCACAGAACAUAAAUUUAGGCAAACAUAAAAGAGACAAAAAAUAUUCUCUGUCUGGGGAGAAACAGCAACAGAGGGCAGUUGUCUUCACAUCCUACCUGUGGGCUUUCUGGAGCCAUCGAGUUGGCCAUCUUGGAAGCUGGACUUUGGUAGACCUUCAGUCUGAUCCUGCAGGGCUUUCCUUAUGUUAUUUCUGAUCUUUCCUAGAUAGGGAUAGCCUGGCUAUUGUCAUCCAUGCUCUAGUAACCUCCAAAUUGGAUUGCUGUAUAGCACUCUACAUGGGGCUGCCCUUGAAGAUGGCCUGGAAAUUGCAACUAGUGCAAAAUGUGGUCGCCAAAGUGCUUAUGGGAGUGACAGGCCAAGCAUAUAUAACACCCAUUUUAAAACAACUUCAUUGGUUUCCAGUUGUUUUCCGGAUCCAAUUAUGUUGACAUUGAAAGCCCUAAAUGACAUGGGGUCCAAAUAUCUCAAGAGAAUGCCUUGUCACAUGAUUUGAUUUGAUUUAAUUUAUUACGGUCGGAGACCAGCAUACAAGUAUAAAGACAAAAACAAUUAUUACAAUAAAAACAUGUUCAAGGUAAAAAAAUCUCGAGUCUGCAUAAGCUGUUAAUUAGUACUCUGCGGCGUACAAUGGCUGCAGCACAGAAACUCGCAACCUUAAUUGAAACAUGGGGGAUUUGAUCAGAUAAUAAAUAUUUAAUAUAAAAUGUAGCAUCACAUGCCAGCCUGCCCAUACCUUAAGGUCGGCAAAUGAGGCCCAAUUAGUGGUCUCUGCACAGGAUGAAGUGUAUAGUGCCAGGGCUCAUCAAAGGGCCUUUUCAGUGGUGGCUCCACAUCUAUGAAGUGCUCUCCCCACUGAGGUGCAUCCAACCUCAUCAUUGUUUUCUUUCAGGAAACAGAUGAAGGUGCACUUUAUCCUGCAAGUUUUCGGGUUCUUGUGCCCCCUUCCUCUACAGCAAUCUUCCCCAGCCUGGUGCUGACUCCUCCUCAACUUAUCCACACAGAUUAGCAGGUAUGUGUACAUCCUGUGCAUGUUCGCAUCCUAUAUGUAUACAUGUGCAAAAGUCGGAUGGACACUGUCAAGAACGCCUGAUUUCUAAAAUGGCUCAGAAGCAAGGAACUGUGGGGAUUUCAUCUUGUCUGAAAUGGGACCUCUGUGAAGAGCAAUGACUUGCAGUUUUCACUGCUGAAGCUAGUUAAUUAGGCCCAAGCAAGAACACCAGCUUAUCAGUGGAGCCUGGUAUCCAAGGCUAUAGGCCUGGGAAGGUUUGGGGAGGACAUGACAGUUAGGUGCAAAAGCUCCAGAAGCAUUUCAUCGUCUGAAAGCCCCCUGAUUGGCUAAUUAAUUUCUGGCUGUUGCCAGGCGUUUUCUCAUAACUAUAGGAGUCAAAAUCUUAGCCUUUGUCCCUCAAUGUGAUGGUGUUACCUGAUGUUGGGUUUCUGCUUUACCAUCCGCUAUCCCGGCUAUACAUCUCUGGGGAGAUGUGGAACCAUGAAGUUAUUUUGCUGUCUACCUCUUUGUAAGUAUAGACUAGGCUAGACAGUUUUGUUAUUUUUGUCUGUGACUGUACUCUCUGUGUAUUUUACCUGGCCCUCAGGUGUGGGUUUUAAGGAACCAAUUUGCUGCUAUGUUUGUGCACUUCUAUUUAAUAAAGCUACUUCUUAUUUA
Molecule: long non-coding RNA, 5855 nt
Organism: Rhineura floridana
Lineage: Eukaryota; Metazoa; Chordata; Lepidosauria; Squamata; Rhineuridae
Exons: 2
Source: RefSeq, a predicted model, not a curated record